GGCCUCCUGGUGUUUGCCACACUAUAUGUUUACACUGACUGUACAGAAAGAGGAGGCAGGUUACUUUACUCCCUGUACACCUCAGUCCAGGCCUGAUCUGUACUGUGAAUGGAAACACAUUC
Molecule: small nucleolar RNA, 122 nt
Filed under: Sciurus vulgaris (Eurasian red squirrel)
Lineage: Eukaryota; Metazoa; Chordata; Mammalia; Rodentia; Sciuridae
Description: Small nucleolar RNA SNORA51 (ENSSVLG00005023409.1)
Rfam family: Small nucleolar RNA SNORA51
About the family: ACA51 is a member of the H/ACA class of snoRNA that guide the sites of modification of uridines to pseudouridines.
Source: Rfam by way of RNAcentral